This 448-nucleotide ribosomal RNA is filed under the name uncultured bacterium. Its description in RNAcentral is "bacterial SSU rRNA". It matches the Rfam family "Bacterial small subunit ribosomal RNA", at positions 355 to 825 of the family's 1533-position model. The record is from RNAcentral.
UCGGGAAUUUUGGGCAAUGGGCGAAAGCCUGACCCAGCAACGCCGCGUGAAGGAUGAAGUAUUUCGGUAUGUAAACUUCGAAAGAAUAGGAAGAAUAAAUGACGGUACUAUUUAUAAGGUCCGGCUAACUACGUGCCAGCAGCCGCGGUAAUACGUAGGGACCAAGCGUUGUUCGGAUUUACUGGGCGUAAAGGGCGCGUAGGCGGUGUGUCAAGUCAGUGGUGAAAUCCCGGGGGCUCAACCUCGGAACUGCCUCUGAUACUGCAAAUCUCGAGUCCGAUAGAGGUGAGUGGAAUUCCUAGUGUAGAGGUGAAAUUCGUAGAUAUUAGGAAGAACACCAGUGGCGAAGGCGGCUCACUGGAUCGGUACUGACGCUGAGGUGCGAAAGCGUGGGGAGCAAACAGGAUUAGAUACCCAAGUAGUCCCUGAGCGGGCUGGCAAGGCGCAU